UACAGAGGGUGCAAGCGUUAAUCGGAAUUACUGGGCGUAAAGCGUGCGCAGGCGGUUGUGUAAGACAGGUGUGAAAUCCCCGGGCUUAACUCGGGGACUGCGCUUGUGACUGCAUGGCUAGAGUACGGCAGAGGGGGGUGGAAUUCCACGUGUAGCAGUGAAAUGCGUAGAGAUGUGGAGGAACACCGAUGGCGAAGGCAGCCCCCUGGGCCGAUACUGACGCUCAUGCACGAAAGCGUGGGGAGCAAACGGG
RNAcentral lists this unclassified non-coding RNA (253 nucleotides) under uncultured Gammaproteobacteria bacterium. RNAcentral's name for it is "contains 16S-23S intergenic spacer region". It matches the Rfam family "Bacterial small subunit ribosomal RNA", at positions 524 to 776 of the family's 1533-position model. Lineage: Bacteria; Pseudomonadati; Pseudomonadota; Gammaproteobacteria. The record is from RNAcentral.